This 667-nucleotide ribosomal RNA is filed under the name uncultured Micromonosporaceae bacterium. RNAcentral's name for it is "bacterial SSU rRNA". It matches the Rfam family "Bacterial small subunit ribosomal RNA", at positions 136 to 816 of the family's 1533-position model. The record is from RNAcentral. Lineage: Bacteria; Bacillati; Actinomycetota; Actinomycetes; Micromonosporales; Micromonosporaceae.
CUUUGGGAUAACCCUCGGAAACGGGGGCUAAUACCGGAUAUUCACAUUCUGUCGCAUGGUGGGGUGUGGAAAGUUUUUUCGGCUUGGGAUGGGCUCGCGGCCUAUCAGCUUGUUGGUGGGGUGAUGGCCUACCAAGGCGGUGACGGGUAGCCGGCCUGAGAGGGCGACCGGCCACACUGGGACUGAGACACGGCCCAGACUCCUACGGGAGGCAGCAGUGGGGAAUAUUGCACAAUGGGCGGAAGCCUGAUGCAGCGACGCCGCGUGGGGGAUGACGGCCUUCGGGUUGUAAACCUCUUUCGGCCCUGACGAAGCGUUUGUGACGGUAGGGGCAGAAGAAGCGCCGGCCAACUACGUGCCAGCAGCCGCGGUAGGACGUAGGGCGCGAGCGUUGUCCGGAUUUAUUGGGCGUAAAGAGCUCGUAGGCGGCUUGUCGCGUCGGCUGUGAAAUCCCGUGGCUUAACUGCGGGUCUGCAGCCGAUACGGGCAGGCUAGAGUUCGGUAGGGGAGACUGGAAUUCCUGGUGUAGCGGUGAAAUGCGCAGAUAUCAGGAGGAACACCGGUGGCAAAGGCGGGUCUCCGGGCCGAUACUGACGCUGAGGAGCGAAAGCGUGGGGAGCGAACAGGAUUAGAUACCCUGGUAGUCCACGCUGUAAACGUUGGGCGC